GCUGUGGCACCACAAUUUAUAGCUCAGCUGGUAGAGCAUGAGAUUCUUAAUCUCAAGGUUGUGGGUUUCAGCCCCACGUCGAGCA
This is a non-coding RNA of Podarcis lilfordi (Lilford's wall lizard), 85 nucleotides long. The record is from the annotation of a GenBank genome assembly. Lineage: Eukaryota; Metazoa; Chordata; Lepidosauria; Squamata; Lacertidae.